Molecule: long non-coding RNA, 394 nt
Organism: Rhipicephalus microplus (southern cattle tick)
Lineage: Eukaryota; Metazoa; Arthropoda; Arachnida; Ixodida; Ixodidae
Source: RefSeq, a predicted model, not a curated record
AUUUAAAGGUGCGAACUCAAGAUGCUUUGGGUUGCCCUUAUCAUGAUAACUGCAGCCCAGCUGGUCACCGUACUGGGUGAAACCAUUAUUGUCCAAACGGGCGCGGAAGAUACUUCGAACAUAGUGAUCCCUUCAUCAAGUUCUGGAUCUACUGUUGUCAUCAAAAAAGACCCACCACCAAAAGUGUACGUGAUUAACGAAGAGCCCUCUUCUGUGGUCGUGCGAGUCAGAUGAUCGACAUGCCGCCUUGUUAAGGUGAUUGUAGUACAACGUCAAACAAAUUGUGCUGCUGCGAAUGCCACACUUGAGAAGGGGAACUCGUAAACAAGUGCUGUAUUGAAUUUUUUUUUGUAAAAUGAAUUAAAAAUAGUGUGAACUCUCACACAUUGCUUCA